This 405-nucleotide ribosomal RNA is filed under the name uncultured bacterium. RNAcentral describes it as "partial 16S ribosomal RNA". It matches the Rfam family "Bacterial small subunit ribosomal RNA", at positions 30 to 526 of the family's 1533-position model. The record is from RNAcentral.
AUUGAACGCUGGCGGCAGGCCUAACACAUGCAAGUCGAACGAGUGGCGGACGGGUGAGUAAUGUCUGGGAAACUGCCCGAUGGAGGGGGAUAACUACUGGAAAGGUAGCUAAUACCGCAUACUAUUGGAGCGGCCGAUAUCUGAUGAGCUAGUGGGUGGGGUAACGGCUCACCAAGGCGACGAUCCGUAGCUGGUUUGUGAGGACGACCAGCAACACAGGGACUGAGACACGGCCCAGACUCCGACGAGAGGCAGCAGGGGGGAAUUUUGGACAAUGGGGGAAACCCUACUCCAGCCAUCCCGCGUGUGCAAUGAAGGCCUUCGGGUUGUAAAGCACUUUUGGCAGGAAAGCGUUACUCGCAGAAGAAGCACCGGCUAACUCCGUGCCAGCAGCCGCGGUAAUUC